Molecule: unclassified non-coding RNA, 194 nt
Filed under: uncultured Russula
Lineage: Eukaryota; Fungi; Basidiomycota; Agaricomycetes; Russulales; Russulaceae
Description: sequence contains ITS1
Source: RNAcentral
UCGUACAACUGAGGCACAAGGGCUGUCGCUGACUUUUGCGUCGUGCACGCCCGAGUGCUCUCAAACAUCCAUCUCACCCCUAUGUGCACCACCGCGUGGGUCCCCUUUUGGCUCGUCCAGAAGGGGGGCUCGCGUUUUCACACAAACUCGAUACAGUGUAGAAUGUCUUCCUUUGCGAUCACACGCAAUUAAUA